UACGGAGGGGGCGAGCGUUGCUCGGAAUUACUGGGCGUAAAGGGCGCGUAGGCGGCGUUUUAAGUCGGGGGUGAAAGCCUGUGGCUCAACCACGGAACGGCCUUCGAUACUGGGAAGCUUGAGUAUGGUAGAGGUUGGUGGAAUUGCAAGUGUAGCGGUGAAAUGCGUAGAUAUUCGCAAGAACACCGGUGGCGAAGGCGGCCAACUGGACCAAUACUGACGCUGAGGCGCGAAAGCGUGGGGAGCAAACAGG
This 253-nucleotide ribosomal RNA is filed under the name uncultured bacterium. RNAcentral describes it as "partial 16S ribosomal RNA". It matches the Rfam family "Bacterial small subunit ribosomal RNA", at positions 524 to 776 of the family's 1533-position model. The record is from RNAcentral.